AGAGUUUGAUCCUGGCUCAGGAUGAACGCUGGCGGUAUGCCUAACACAUGCAAGUCGAACGAUGUCUUCGGACAUAGUGGCGGACGGGUGAGUAACGCGUGAGAAUCUGCCUCUAGGAUGGGGAUAACGGUUGGAAACGACCGCUAACACCCAAUAUGCCGUAAGGUGAAAAAUUUAUUGCCUGGAGAGGAGCUCGCGUCUGAUUAGCUAGUUGGUGGGGUAAGAGCUCACCAAGGCCUCGAUCAGUAGCUGGUCUGAGAGGAUGAGCAGCCACACUGGGACUGAGACACGGCCCAGACUCCUACGGGAGGCAGCAGUGGGGAAUUUUCCGCAAUGGGCGAAAGCCUGACGGAGCAAUACCGCGUGAGGGAGGAAUGCCUUUGGGUUGUAAACCUCUUUUCUCAGGGAAGAAGAUCUGACGGUACCUGAGGAAUAAGUAUCGGCUAACUCCGUGCCAGCAGCCGCGGUAAUACGGAGGAUGCAAGCGUUAUCCGGAAUCAUUGGGCGUAAAGCGUCCGCAGGUGGUUUCCAAAGUCUGCUGUUAAAGACUGGAGCUCAACUCCGGAACGGCGGUGGAAACUUGGAAACUAGAGUUCGGUAGGGGUAGCAGGAAUUCCCAGUGUAGCGGUGAAAUGCGUAGAUAUUGGGAAGAACAUCGGUGGCGAAGGCGUGCUACUGGACCGUAACUGACACUCAGGGACGAAAGCUAGGGGAGCGAAAGGGAUUAGAUACCCCUGUAGUCCUAGCUGUAAACGAUGGAAACUAGGUGUGGCUUGUAUCGACCCGAGCCGUG
Molecule: ribosomal RNA, 793 nt
Filed under: uncultured marine microorganism
Description: bacterial SSU rRNA
Rfam family: Bacterial small subunit ribosomal RNA
Source: RNAcentral